UAUAAAUACCCGCGUUUAAGAGAUAGGUUUUCAGGCGUCAACAUUACUGCUUGAUAAACUUCUCUACCACUCAAAAGCCCUAAACUUCAUUGCUCUCGGAUCUCUGCCGUCUGCCGUUUUUAUCCUGCUAGCACUGCGUUAUAAAUUUUUAAAUUGUAGGCAUCAUGUUAAUUUCUUCAAAUUUUUAAUUGUUAUAUGAAUGCCUAAUUAUAAUGCAGUUCUAGCAAGAUACUUUGGGCUAAAGACAUUUGGGUUGCAUCCAACUCUCAAAUUUUCAGUUACAAGUGUGAAGAAAACCUCCAAACGGUUGCAUAUCCUAAAGCAUUUGUUCUAUAUUUAGUUGUUCACUCAAGCAGCGGAGGUAUCAGGCAUACCGUAAUUCUUGAUUAUCCACGGUUGAAUCAACAAGGAAUUCAAGAAAAUGAAGGAGAAGGAAUUCAGGGUGUCCAUCCACGGAACAGCUGCGCGUUUUGGCUCAAGGGUCUUGUCCAUGUUCAUCUACAAAUAAGACAUUAUUCACCUUUAUACCUACGUAACACAAAAAAAGGCUGCUGCAUGUAUCAAGACCCUUGUUUUGCAGUACUGAUAUCAUGGUUGCUGUCAUUUUCAAGAUUUUGGAAUUUUUCAACUGAUCUAUUGAUGGAUGCUUACGAAGCAGAAUACUAUGGCUUUGUUUCAAAAUAGAAGAGACAACUUGAAGCUUUUUUGAGUUUGCAUAUCUACUCGAUAAAAUUUAUUCGCAUUCGGGUGUUUGUAACAAAUGAACGUGACAUGUGUCCUGCAUAUGAAGUUAUUUAACUUGGGUUAAAUUUUAUCACUUAAUCAAACGUUAAAUGAUAUGUAUUGUUACUUUAAUUUGUGGAUGUUGUAACCAAAUUAUUUAUUUGGUACAACUAUUCUAUGGUAAGCUGC
Nicotiana tabacum (common tobacco) is the source of this 912-nucleotide non-coding RNA. The record is from RefSeq and is a predicted model, not a curated record. NCBI's taxonomy places the organism in Eukaryota, Viridiplantae, Streptophyta, Magnoliopsida, Solanales, Solanaceae.